GUGUCAGCCGCCGCGGUAAUACGUAGGUGGCUAGCGUUGUCCGGAAUCACUGGGCGUAAAGAGCGCGUAGGCGGCCAGUCAGGUCCGAUGUGAAAACCCGGGGCUCAACUCCGGGCCUGCAUUGGAAACCGGCUGGCUAGAGUCUGGGAGAGGAGAGUGGAAUUCCUGGUGUAGCGGUGAAAUGCGUAGAUAUCAGGAGGAACACCGGUAGCGAAGGCGGCUCUCUGGAACAGUACUGACGCUGAGGCGCGAAAGCUAGGGGAGCGAACAGGAUUAGAUACCCUGGUAGUCCUAGCCCUAAACGAUGGACACUAGGUGUCGGGGGUGUCGACUCCCCCGGUGCCGUAGCUAACGCAUUAAGUGUCCCGCCUGGGGACUACGGCCGCAAGGUUAAAACUCAAAUGAAUUGACGGGG
This 415-nucleotide ribosomal RNA is filed under the name uncultured prokaryote. Its description in RNAcentral is "bacterial SSU rRNA". It matches the Rfam family "Bacterial small subunit ribosomal RNA", at positions 505 to 918 of the family's 1533-position model. The record is from RNAcentral.